GACGAACGCUGGCGGCGUGCUUAACACAUGCAAGUCGAACGGUGAAGCGCCUUCCUUUUUGGUGGGUGUGGAUGAGUGGCGAACGGGUGAGUAACACGUGAGUAACCUGCCCCCUUCUUCUGGAUAACCGCAUGAAAGUGUGGCUAAUACGGGAUAUUCUGGGUCUGUCGCAUGAUGGGUCUGGGAAAGAUAUUGUUUCGGUGGGGGAUGGGCUCGCGGCCUAUCAGCUUGUUGGUGGGGUGAUGGCCUACCAAGGCGGUGACGGGUAGCCGGCCUGAGAGGGUGGACGGUCACACUGGGAAGGAGACACGGCCCAGACUCCUACGGGAGGCAGCAGUGGGGAAUAUUGCACAAUGGGCGCAAGCCUGAUGCAGCGACGCCGCGUGAGGGAUGGAGGCCUUCGGGUUGUGAACCUCUUUCGCCAGUGAAGCAGGCCUGCCUCGUUUGUGGGUGGGUUGACGGUAGCUGGAUAAGAAGCGCCGGCUAACUACGUG
RNAcentral lists this ribosomal RNA (494 nucleotides) under uncultured bacterium. RNAcentral describes it as "partial 16S ribosomal RNA". It matches the Rfam family "Bacterial small subunit ribosomal RNA", at positions 28 to 507 of the family's 1533-position model. The record is from RNAcentral.